Molecule: ribosomal RNA, 510 nt
Filed under: uncultured bacterium
Lineage: Bacteria
Description: partial 16S ribosomal RNA
Rfam family: Bacterial small subunit ribosomal RNA
Source: RNAcentral
GACGAACGCUGGCGGCGUGCUUAACACAUGCAAGUCGAACGAAGAGCGAUGGAAGCUUGCUUCUAUCAAUCUUAGUGGCGAACGGGUGAGUAACGCGUAAUCAACCUGCCCUUCAGAGGGGGACAACAGUUGGAAACGACUGCUAAUACCGCAUACGAUCUAACCUCGGCAUCGAGGAUAGAUGAAAGGUGGCCUCUACAUGUAAGCUAUCACUGAAGGAGGGGAUUGCGUCUGAUUAGCUAGUUGGAGGGGUAACGGCCCACCAAGGCGAUGAUCAGUAGCCGGUCUGAGAGGAUGAACGGCCACAUUGGGACUGAGACACGGCCCAGACUCCUACGGGAGGCAGCAGUGGGGAAUCUUCCGCAAGGGACGAAAGUCUGACGGAGCAACGCCGCGUGAGUGAUGACGGCCUUCGGGUUGUAAAGCUCUGUUAAUCGGGACGAAAGGCCUUCUUGCGAAUAGUUAGAAGGAUUGACGGUACCGGAAGAGAAAGCCACGGCUAACUACGUG